RNAcentral lists this ribosomal RNA (1336 nucleotides) under metagenome. RNAcentral's name for it is "bacterial LSU rRNA". It matches the Rfam family "Bacterial large subunit ribosomal RNA", at positions 1608 to 2925 of the family's 2925-position model. The record is from RNAcentral.
AAAAGAAAAGCCUCUAGCGAGCUUCGAGCGGCCCGUACCCCAAACCGACACAGGUGGUCAGGUAGAGAAUACCGAGGCGAUCGGGCGAACUGUGGUUAAGGAACUCGGCAAAUUACCCCCGUAACUUCGGGAGAAGGGGGGCCACAGACUGUCAUACCCCACGCGGGUGGCAGCAGUAGGUGGCCGCAGAGACCAGGGGGAAGCGACUGUUUACUAAAAACACAGGUCCGUGCGAAGUCGUAAGACGAUGUAUACGGACUGACGCCUGCCCGGUGCUGGAACGUUAAGGGGACCGGUUAGUCCGCAAGGGCGAAGCUGAGAACUUAAGCGCCAGUAAACGGCGGUGGUAACUAUAACCAUCCUAAGGUAGCGAAAUUCCUUGUCGGGUAAGUUCCGACCUGCACGAAUGGCGUAACGACUUCCCUACUGUCUCAACCACAGGCCCGGCGAAAUUGCACUACGAGUAAAGAUGCUCGUUACGCGCGGAAGGACGGAAAGACCCCGGGACCUUCACUAUAGCUUGACAUUGGUAUCCGAAUUUAAUUGUGUAGGAUAGGUGGGAGGCUUUGAUCCGCGGACGCCAGUCCGUCGGGGAGCCAACGUUGAAAUACCACUCUGUUGAAUUUGGGUAUCUAACUUCGGACCGUGAUCCGGUUCAGGGACAGUGUCUGGUGGGUAGUUUAACUGGGGCGGUUGCCUCCUAAAAUGUAACGGAGGCGCCCAAAGGUUCCCUCAGCCUGGUUGGCAAUCAGGUGUUGAGUGCAAGUGCACAAGGGAGCUUGACUGUGAGACUGACAGGUCGAGCAGGGACGAAAGUCGGGACUAGUGAUCCGGCACCUGCGAGUGGAAGCGGUGUCGCUCAACGGAUAAAAGGUACCCCGGGGAUAACAGGCUGAUCUUCCCCAAGAGUCCAUAUCGACGGGAUGGUUUGGCACCUCGAUGUCGGCUCGUCGCAUCCUGGGGCUGGAGUAGGUCCCAAGGGUUGGGCUGUUCGCCCAUUAAAGCGGCACGCGAGCUGGGUUUAGAACGUCGUGAGACAGUUCGGUCCCUAUCCUCCGCGCGCGUAGGAGACUUGAGAAGAGCUGUCCCUAGUACGAGAGGACCGGGACGGACGAACCUCUGGUGUGCCAGUUGUCAUGCCAAUGGCACGGCUGGUUAGCUACGUUCGGAAGGGAUAACCGCUGAAAGCAUCUAAGCGGGAAGCUCGCUUCAAGAUGAGGUCUCCCACCCCUUCGAGGGUUAAGGCCCCCAGCUAGACCACUGGGUUGAUAGGCCAGAAGUGUAAGCCUGGUAACAGGUUCAGCCGACUGGUACUAAUAGGCCGAGGACUUCACCA